RNAcentral lists this ribosomal RNA (497 nucleotides) under uncultured bacterium. RNAcentral describes it as "partial 16S ribosomal RNA". It matches the Rfam family "Bacterial small subunit ribosomal RNA", at positions 28 to 507 of the family's 1533-position model. The record is from RNAcentral.
GACGAACGCUGGCGGCGUGCCUAAUACAUGCAAGUUGAGCGCUGAAGGUUGGUACUUGUACCGACUGGAUGAGCAGCGAACGGGUGAGUAACGCGUGGGGAAUCUGCCUUUGAGCGGGGGACAACAUUUGGAAACGAAUGCUAAUACCGCAUAAAAACUUUAAACACAAGUUUUAAGUUUGAAAGAUGCAAUUGCAUCACUCAAAGAUGAUCCCGCGUUGUAUUAGCUAGUUGGUGAGGUAAAGGCUCACCAAGGCGAUGAUACAUAGCCGACCUGAGAGGGUGAUCGGCCACAUUGGGACUGAGACACGGCCCAAACUCCUACGGGAGGCAGCAGUAGGGAAUCUUCGGCAAUGGACGAAAGUCUGACCGAGCAACGCCGCGUGAGUGAAGAAGGUUUUCGGAUCGGAAAACUCUGUUGGUAGAGAAGAACGUUGGGGAGAGUGGAAAGCUCAUCAAGUGACGGUAACUACCCAGAAAGGGACGGCUAACUACGUG